GACGAACGCUGGCGGCGUGCCUAACACAUGCAAGUCGAACGCACAGUUUAUACCGUAGCUUGCUACAUCAUAGACUGUGAGUUGCGAACGGGUGAGUAACGCGUAGGUAACCUGCCUGGCAGCGGGGGAUAACUAUUGGAAACGAUAGCUAAUACCGCAUAAUAUUAAUUAUUGCAUGAUAAUUAAUUGAAAGGUGCAAUUUCACCACUACCAGAUGGACCUGCGUUGUAUUAGCUAGUAGGUGAGGUAACGGCUAACCUAGGCGACGAUACAUAGCCGACCACAAAGGGAGAUAGGACAAACUGGGCCUGGGGCACGACCCAGACUACUACGAGAGGCAGAAGGAGGGAACCCUCGGGAGUGGCAGAAAGUGUGACCAAGCGACGCCGCGUGAGUGAAUAAGGCUGUCGGAUCGUGAAGGUCAGUUGUAAGAGAAGAACGGAUGUGAGAGUGGGAAGUUCACAAUGUGACGGUAGCUUACCAGGAAGGGACGGCUAACUACGUG
RNAcentral lists this ribosomal RNA (505 nucleotides) under uncultured bacterium. RNAcentral's name for it is "partial 16S ribosomal RNA". It matches the Rfam family "Bacterial small subunit ribosomal RNA", at positions 28 to 507 of the family's 1533-position model. The record is from RNAcentral.